RNAcentral lists this small RNA (87 nucleotides) under Hordeum vulgare subsp. vulgare (domesticated barley). The record is from RNAcentral. Lineage: Eukaryota; Viridiplantae; Streptophyta; Magnoliopsida; Poales; Poaceae.
GUUGGUUUACAACCGUGUUGUAAGAGCCUGUGGUAUGUUUGAACCUGCUUCGCACCUUGGUUAAUAUGCAUGUUAUCUGGUUUGCCU